UACGAAGGGGGCUAGCGUUGCUCGGAAUCACUGGGCGUAAAGGGCGUGUAGGCGGGCAGGUAAGUCGGGCGUGAAAUCCCUGAGCUCAACUCAGGAACUGCACUCGAAACUACUUGUCUUGAGUACCGGAGAGGAAAGCGGAAUACCUGGUGUAGAGGUGAAAUUCGUAGAUAUCAGGUGGAACACCAGUGGCGAAGGCGGCUUUCUGGACGGUAACUGACGCUGAGACGCGAAAGCGUGGGGAGCAAACAGG
Molecule: ribosomal RNA, 253 nt
Filed under: uncultured bacterium
Lineage: Bacteria
Description: partial 16S ribosomal RNA
Rfam family: Bacterial small subunit ribosomal RNA
Source: RNAcentral